Molecule: ribosomal RNA, 619 nt
Filed under: uncultured marine bacterium
Lineage: Bacteria
Description: bacterial SSU rRNA
Rfam family: Bacterial small subunit ribosomal RNA
Source: RNAcentral
CCGCCUGGGGAGUACGACCGCAAGGUUAAAACUCAAAUGAAUUGACGGGGACCCGCACAAGUAGUGGAGCAUGUGGUUAAUUCGAAGAUACGCGCAGAACCUUACCAACACUUGACAUGUUCGUCGCGACUUAAGAGAUUAAAGUUUUCGGUUCGGCCGGACGAAACACAGGUGCUGCAUGGCUGUCGUCAGCUCGUGUCGUGAGAUGUUGGGUUAAGUCCCGCAACGAGCGCAACCCUCACUUUUAGUUGCCAUCAUUUAGUUGGGCACUCUGAAAGAACUGCCAGUGAUAAGCUGGAGGAAGGUGGGGAUGACGUCAAGUCCUCAUGGCCCUUACGUGUUGGGCUACACACGUGCUACAAUGGUAUCUACAACAGGAAGCAAGACGGCGACGUUAAGCAAAUCCUCAAAAGAUACCUCAGUUCGGAUUGCACUCUGCAACUCGAGUGCAUGAAGCUGGAAUUACUAGUAAUCGUGGAUCAGCGUGCCACGGUGAAUGCGUUCCCGGGUCUUGUACACACCGCCCGUCACACCAUGGGAGUUGGUUCUACCUUAAGGCAAGGUUUAAAACCCUUGACCACGGUAUAGUCAGCGACUGGGGUGAAGUCGUAACAAGGUA